This 231-nucleotide unclassified non-coding RNA is filed under the name plant metagenome. Its description in RNAcentral is "partial contains small subunit ribosomal RNA, internal transcribed spacer 1, and 5.8S ribosomal RNA". The record is from RNAcentral.
UCUCCGUUGGUGAACCAGUGGAGGGAUCAUUACAGAGUUGCAAAACUCCCAAACCAUUGUGAACGUUACCUAUCCCGUUGCUUCGGCGGGCGGCCCGGGCCCCGCGCCCGGCGCCCCCCGGCCCCCCGUGGGCGCCCGCCGGAGGUAAACCAAACCCUUGAAUUGCAUGGCCUCUCUGAGUCUUCUGUACUGAAUAAGUCAAAACUUUCAACAACGGAUCUCUUGGUUCUG